GGGCUAACCCGGUGUAGGUCGAUCUUUCACGUUUGGAGUGGGAUCCCUCGAAGAACACGAUGAACACAGGGAAGAACGGAGAGAAAUCACAAGGGGAAGCACUCAAGAACAAGUCUAAUCACACAUCCACUAGACAAUCAAACACACAAGGUCACAAGGUACAUGAACAACAAAGGGAAAGAUACAAGGUAAGGUUCAUCUCCAAGAGGAGGUCUUGAUGAUAUCCUAGACGGAUCUUCCCAUGAGGGGGUCUUUGUGAUAUCCUGCAGGAUCUUCUCACAUGGAGGUCUUGAACUCCAUGGGAGUGGUAGUCUCUCUCUCUCUCUCUCUCUCUCUCAAGAGUAGAGGUAGGAGCAAAGAUCACCUAAGAAUGAGCUAUCAUAUUUGCUUCCCCUAGAAUGGAGGAGGGGGAUGAGUAUAUAUAGUAGUAGCCAGGAAGGGGUAAGUGAAGGGCGAAAGGGUACAUGGCCACUGGCCGAGUCUCUGCGCGCACGCAGGGCCAGAAGUUCCAGGGACGGUCGGAAGGUCCGGGCACCGGAGGUUCCGGGCUAUCCAGAGAGUUGGCACACUCUUGGACAACCUCGGUGCGGCAGGGCCAGAAGCUCCGGGAUGGCCGGAGGUUCUGGGGGCUGGAAGUUCUGGGCAGCGGCCGGAAGUUACAGGCUUUCCAGAAACUUGUCCAGGCUUCUUCUUCCUUCUCUUCCACGCUUCCCUCAUGGAUGGUGUAGGUGUUCCUUGGUGCUUGCACUCCACCUCAUCGUCCGUGAAGCUCCGGCAAUACCUAUGCAUGCACAUGAGUGGAGUGUCAAGUAGUAUACCAUCCUCAAAGGGGUCAAGUGAACACGUGUAAAGGAGAAGAUUCACCUUUAUGUAUGUGAAGUAGAGAUCGCACGUGUCACUUGCCAAAUGGACUCUUGACAUGGUGAUGAACGUAGGAUGCUCCGCAUCAUCCCCUGCCCCUUGGAAAAGAUCCGACCUCAGAUCGAAAACCAAAUCAUCAUGGGAAAGAGACGGCGGUGCCGUGUCGAAGUGGUCGAUCACCAAGCACUCAUCGUCUAGUAGCUCGAAGUGGUCACUCGCCAAUGUCACACCAUUUUGUGAUUCCUUCAAAAUGAGCAAAUACAAUAAACACUUGGAAAAACAAAUGUGGUUAGCAUUAGUGCAAAACCAAGCAUUCAAGAGGUGAUUCACCAAACAAGUGUUGUCAUCAAGCAUAGCAUAGGGUGUGACAAAGGAUUGUGACAUGGCAUGUAAGCAUAACAAUUGAGCACAAGCAAAGAUAUCAUGGGGACAAGUAUGAAAAUGUGAGGUAGUGAUGCAAAUAUGUGUGACAAGAGAAUAAGCAAUUGAGCACAAGCAAAGAUAUCAUGGGGACAAGUAUGAAAAUGUGAGGUAGUGAUGCAAAUAUGUGUGACAAGAGAAUAAGCAUCUACCUCAAGUUCAUAGCAAGAAUUCACAAAUGACUUAAUGAAAGGUCUAUGGUAGGCAUAGGAAAGAUUUACAACACCAAAUAAAAUGAAGUGUCUAAACACAUGGGUGAAGUGCAAGACAAUCCAAGCAUAAUGUGCAUGGGGUGUAGUGAAUAUAGUGUGGCACUCAACACAAUAGAAAGAGCAAUUGUUCAUCAUGUGUGAGGCAAUCAAGUGAAUCAUGUGACAAGCAAAGGAACAUGGCAUAUGUGAAGAAAUGAUAUUGGUGCAACCAACCAUAUGAUAGUAGCAAGUAGUCCAAGAAUUGGAUGCAACACACAAGGUAUGUAUAUCAUGAAGCAUGGAAAUGUGGCAAUCAUGUGUGAAAGCAAUAUCAUGAACAUGCGUGCAAAUGGUGCAAGCCACACAUGAAGUAUGAUCCACAAUAUCCCUGCUCAAGAAGGAUGUCACCUUGAAGGUGUGUCCUUAUGCAUUCUUCACAAUGCCGAAACUCAAGCAAGUGCGAUGUACAAUCAUCAUGGUAGAAGGUGGCUCGCUCUCAAGAGCUCGAAUGGUCAACUCACGUGAAGUGCAAGUCGACACGAAGUGCAAGUAUCCUACACAUGCACACAACAAAACAAAGGACAUAUGCGCAUGGUAGAUAAACACAUCAUCCAUCAUGAUGGUUCUCCUCUCUUGCACAUAACCAUUAGAAGCACAAGUGCGUGAAUAAUAUGAUGCAACAAUGGCUAUAUUCAUUGCACUAGGUAUAUUGUGCAAAGAAGUAAGACAAGCAUGCUUCACAAGGAAUAUGUCAAAAUCUUCAAUCAUAUGUGAGAAUGCUAUGGGGGAAAUCUCAUUAUCAAGGAUAAUAGCAUUGUUGCACUCAAUGCAUGGAAAAUCAUCUAGCAUAAGAGAGGCAACAUAUGGAGAUAUGUGACAAGAAGCAAUAAAAAUCAUGUGCAAAGCAUGGAAAUGGUUGUCAUUAACCGCAUGAAGUGAGCAAGUAUGAAUCAUGGGUGAUGCAACAUAAGCAAGCAUAGAGAUCAAGUCGUGUAAACUAGUGGAGCGAAAAUGCAACACACUAGAGUUAAUCAUGGUAAUGAUGUCAUGUGAGCAAAUACUAGGCAUAGACAAUGCACAUGACAUAUCACAAGCACGAACACAAAGCAAGAUCAUAGUAUCAUCGUAGGAAUGGGUCAUAGAUGAAACAUGGCAAUAAUAAGCAAUAUCUCCACCAAGCUUCCAAAUACACAUAAAAGUAUGAGAAUCAAUCAUCAUGUGUAAAUCAAAGCAUGGGUCACAAAUGCAUGUCAAAGGCAUAGGAAAGGUGAUGAGGACAUCAAUACAAUUGUUACACCCACAGCCCCUGCUGCUAUACAUACUGGACCAAUUACUAGAGCUCGUGCACGCCAACUAAAUUACCAGGUACUUUCGUUUCUUGGUAAUGAUUCUAAUGUUCAUGAGAAUAUGAUGCUGCCUAAAUUGGAUACAUUUGUUUUGCUUACAAAUGAAGGGCCUAGCUUGGAGAAGGAUGAACAUUGGAGCAAGAACAAGCAUGGAGAUGAUGGCAUGCGCAAGGGGAACAAGAACGGAGUUACAAGUGAUGAUUUCAGGACUUUGAAGCCACCAUAAUGGGUGCAUGAAGCCUUGGACGAAAUAUACAAGAUGCCACUUCAUAAAUUUCGUCCCGAGGCUAUUUUAGGUGUUGCGUCACCUUAUUAUUGGACCAGGCCCAUGUAAUUUCGAAAUACAUAAGUAUAGGCUAUUUUUAGAGUCCGUAUGUGUGGGGAAACAAGAGAUAGGGUUGAUUUCGGACCCCUCCACCAAGGGCCACGAAAUUCCCCCCUCUUCCUCCAUAUAUACAGCCCUUAGGGCAUCGUUUAGACUUUAGGGUUUUGUUUAGAUUAAAAGUUCGCCAUAGCUGCAACUUCGCGUACUUCGUUUGUGUUCAACGACCAGACAAUGAUGAGGACAUGACUAUCUUGGAUAUGACCAAAAAUAUUGCAUAUAUGCAUAUUUGUCAGGUGAUUUCUAGUGCAAACUAUUCAAUAAUCUAUUUAUGUUAUCCAGAACAAAAAUACUUCACACACUUUUGUGUUUUGUCUAAUUGCAGGUGUAUGGGACAUUUGUACAAUCCACAUAUGAAGAUAAGGAAGAAAGAGAUGUUUAUUUGCUGUCCAAAAAGUUCUCUCACGUCACUUUUGGCCCAAGAGAAGAUAGAGUCCAAGUCUCUCACGUUCUGGAUUCAGAUUCGGACUGCACAGACAUACCUGACUCAAAACGCACACAAGUUUUUCAUACGGACUCCGAAUUGGGUGAUUCUUUUUUUGUUGGAAACUAGAUUUCGUGCACUUUCCAACCCAAUUGGAAUCACCUUCAAAUUUUAUGAGGACAUCAAUACCAUUGUUACACCCACAGGCCCUGCUGCUAUACAUACUGGACCAAUUACUAGAGCUCGCGCACGCCAACUAAAUUACCAGGUACUUUCGUUUCUUGGUAAUGAUUCUAAUGUUCAUGAGAAUAUGAUGCUGCCUAAAUUGGAUACAUUUGUUUUGCUUACAAAUGAAGGGCCUAGCUUGGAGAAGGAUGAACAUUGGAGCAAGAACAAGCAUGGAGAUGAUGGCAUGCGCAAGGGGAACAAGAACGGAGUUACAAGUGAUGAUUUCAGGACUUUGAAGCCACCAUAAUGGGUGCAUGAAGCCUUGGACGAAAUAUACAAGAUGCCACUUCAUAAAUUUCGUCCCGAGGCUAUUUUAGGUGCUGCGUCACCUUAUUAUUGGGCCAGGCCCAUGUAAUUUCGAAAUACAUAAGUAUAGGCUAUUUUUAGAGCCCGUAUGUGUGGGGAAACAAGAGAUAGGGUUGAUUUCGGACCCCUCCACCAAGGGCCACGAAAUUCCCCCCUCUUCCUCCAUAUAUACAGCCCUUAGGGCAUCGUUUAGACUUUGGGUUUUGUUUAGAUUAAAAGUUCGCCAUAGCUGCAACUUCGCGUACUUCGUUUGUGUUCAACGACUAGACAAAGGCGUCACAGAACCCCACCUUGAUCAAUAAAGCUUUCAUCUUAUAUUCGCAAUAUCCAGAUUGCAAUCUUAGUUUCUUGCUUGUUCUUCGUUUGCUCGCAGGAAACAGACCCUCGUGGUCAGGUUGAUCGUGCUCCGGCGUGGUCAAUAACCUCUCAGAGUUGGUUUAGCGAUUGCUAAGGCGCGACGUCCUCGCACGUUCGUAGUCGGAUCGUCAAAGUCGACUUCCACCAAAGCGAAAUCCACCAUCUCAUCGAAAGACGGGACACCUUUGCCUCUAUCAAGUGGUAUCAGAUUUCCAGGUUGCUCGAUGAGAUUUUACAGUUUUUCGUAGUUUAGAUCGAGUCUGUUCUUCAUACCUACAGUCCACGAAAAAGCCACAAAAAAAAAUUAGGGUUAGUUCAUCAUAUCCGAACCAAUCUGAGCCUUUGCAUAAUCUUUUUAGGGUUUUGCUUUGUUGAAUUUGCGGUUGCAUCGUCGGUCUAGUUGCUGGUCUUAGAGUCUAGUCUUUUAGAGUUUCGAGUUCUGGUCAUAAGUUGUCACGCCGCCGCCGCACCAUCAUCAUCGGCCCUGCCAUCUACCACCACCGCUCCGAAUUCGUAUCCAUAUACCACCACCAAUCCGUGCCCAUAUACCACCACCGAUCCAUAUCCAUAUACUACCACCGCUACCACCACCGCUGCCAUAUACCACCACCAUAUAUCCACCACCAAUCCGAGUUCCUUGCUUAUUAGGUUUGUUUUUGGGAUCCAUCUAGAUUCCGAUUCGUGUUUCCUUGCCGGAGUAGGUUUCGAAAAAAAAAAGAGUCGGGUAGCCACGCUCCGUUUAGGCCCAAAAUUUUUCGAAAACGCAUUUUUCGAAAAAAUUUCUGGCUAUCCUAUUUUUAGGUGUUUCUGAGUGUUUUGAGACAGGUGCCAUUAUAGGAAGUUUUUUUGACCCGUUUCCAGUUUUUGGGUCCGGGCAGUCGAAAAAAAAAAUUGGUCGAAAAAUUUCGUGCCCAUCCUGUCAGUUUGAGCUAAGAAGAGUUUUGAGACACUCGCCAUUAUAGUGAUUUUUCGCACAAAAAAAAACCAGCGCAAAAAAAAAUGAGCGCAAAAAAAAGAGCGAAAAAAAAAUCCAGAGUGUGCUUUUCCCUUGUUUACGUGCCGCGCCGUGAUUUUGUUAGUGUUCUAGGCUCGCGUCUCUAGCACAGUCUAGCCUAGGACCAGCACAGUACCGUCGUUGAGCGUUUAUUCAACUUUGCAUCUCUGAAUUGAUUAUUGCUGACCCUUUUUGCUACCAUAUUAUAAGCCUUCCCAGCUCCACAUACAUCUACGUCGUGCGUUUGACUCUCCCUGGUAAUCGCUCUAUCCAAGCUUUGAGAGUUUUUGACUCCAACGGUUGCCGAUCACCGCCUGCUGCUGGUUAAGAACUGGUAAGAAUUUGAGAUUUGCUUGACGGAUUUGUGACACCCACCACCACCACUUGUUUGUAGUCUGUAGGAUCAUAUUCUUGUGUGUUUCUUUUGCUGCUAACCAUGCCAGGAUCGAAAGCCGACGAGAUUGACUGGGAGAAUUUAUCGAACAAGGAGCUUCAUGAUAAGUUUCAGCAAAUGAUGACUGAACAGGUGCAAGAUGUGCUGAACAAUUUUGAAGAGGCCAUGGAGAAGAUCACUGGCCUUGAGAAGACGUUCAAAACAAAGCUCGAUAACAAGUUUAAUGAAUUGCUCGCGCGUCUUCCACCACCACCACCCGCUGCACCUAACGCACCUCUCCAACAACAACAACAACAACGACUACCUCCACGUCGCAAAGCAGACCUCCGCCGAGCAAGCCGUGUUCCUCUUGCGUUUGGCAAACUGUUGGUGCUGCUGUUGAUACUUCUGUGGCUCCUGCUGCUGAUGCGGAGGAGGAUGAUUAUGUGGGAGAUUAUGAGGAUGAGGUUGAUCAAAAUCAACACUACGUGCAGCCACCUGUACCACCACCAGCAGGUCGACCUCAGGUAUAUAUUCGUAAUGGUAGGCCUGCACCACCACCUCAGGUACGAGAUGAUGUCCAUAUUCCUAAACUGAAAUUGAAUAUUCCACCAUUUGAGGGUAGAUAUGUUCCUGAUAUAUAUCUUACUUGGGAGUUAGAAACUGAACAACGAUUUACAUGUUUACAAUAUCCUGAGGAGAGACGAGUUGCUGCUGCCGUUUGUGCUUUCACUAGUUUUGCAUGUGUAUGGUGGUCUGAACAUUGUAGAUUAUAUCCUAUUCCAACUACUUGGGCUGCUUUGAAAACUGCUGUGCGUACGCGUUGGGUCCCACCAUAUUAUCAACGUGAAUUGCUUCAAAAAUUGCAGCGUUUAAGACAAGGGAAAAAUUCUGUAGAAGAAUAUUAUCAGGAAUUACAAACUGGCAUGAUUAGAUGUGGUAUUGUUGAGGAGAAUGAAGCUAUGCUUGCACGUUUUCUGGGUGGAUUAAAUAGAGAGAUUCAGACCAUUCUAGACUAUAAGGAGUAUACUAAUAUCACUCGUUUAUUCCAUCUUGCUUGUAAAGCUGAACGUGAAGUGCAGGAUCGACAAGCAUUGGGGCGAACUAACUUUUCUGUAGGCCGACCUUCAUCAUGGACACCACGUGCAUCUUCUACUUCAACUGCACCAGCACCUCCAUCCGGUGCCACCUCCAGCUGUGAUACAAGAAAACAGGCACAACCACCAUUAUCUGCCAAGAGCGCACCUGCGGGGCCUGCACAGCGUUCUUCUUCUUCCAUGGCAUCAACAGGGCACACAAGUGAUAUUAUUUGUCGUCGUUGUAAGGGAGGAGGUCAUUAUGCGAGAGAAUGCAAAUCUCCGCGUGUGAUGAUUGCUACCGCGGAUGGUGGAUAUGAGUCCGCUAGUGACUAUGAUGAGGAGGCUUUGGCUCUUAUUACACGUGAAGAACAUGGUGGAGAUGAUUCUGAUCAUGAGACGCAAUACAUGGCUCCUGAAGACGCUGACAGGUAUGAAUGUUUAGUUGCUCAACGUGUUUUGAGUGUGCAGGUCACACAAGCUGAGCAAAAUCAGAGGCACAAUUUGUUCCAUACCAAGGGAGUUGUGAAGGAACGUUCUGUGCGCGUCAUCAUAGACGGAGGGAGCUGCAACAACUUGGUUAGCAUGGAGAUGGUGGAGAAGCUUUCUCUCACCACAAGACCACAUCCACAUCCUUACUACAUCCAAUGGUUCAACAACAGCGGCAAGGUUAAGGUAACACGUACUGUUCGUGUGCAUUUUAGUAUCUCUACAUAUGCUGAUUAUGUUGAUUGUGAUGUGGUACCUAUGCAAGCAUGUUCCUUAUUACUUGGUAGACCAUGGCAAUUUGAUAAAAAUUCUGUACACCAUGGUAGAAACAAUCACUAUACUCUUGUUCAUAAGGAUAAAAAUAUUACUUUGCUUCCUAUGACUCCUGAUUCCAUUUUGAAAGAUGAUAUUAAUAGAGCUAAUAAAGCACAACCGGAGAAGAAUAAGAGUGAAAAUCAGAUUGUGGCAAAAGAAUUUGAGCAACAAAUGAAGCCUAAUAAUAAACCAUCUAGUGUUGCUUCUGAAAUUAAAUUGAAAAGUGCAUGUUUAUUUGCCACCAAAUCUGAUAUUGAUGAGCUAGAUUUCAGCAAAUCUGUUUGCUAUGCUUUUGUGUGCAAAGAGGCAUUAUUUUCAUUCGAGGACGUGCCUUCCUCUUUGCCUCCUGCUGUCACUAACAUUUUGCAGGAGUUCGCUGACGUUUUUCCACAAGACGUGCCACCGGGAUUACCGCCUAUUCGAGGGAUUGAGCAUCAGAUUGACUUAAUUCCCGGUGCUUCACUGCCAAACCGUGCACCAUACCGUACCAAUCCAAAGGAGACGAAGGAGAUUAUGCGUCAAGUACAAGAGCUUCUCGAUAAAGGUUAUAUACGCGAAUCCCUUAGUCCUUGUGCUGUUCCUAUUAUUCUAGUGCCGAAAAAGGAUGGUACAUCACGUAUGUGUGUUGAUUGUAGAGGCAUUAAUAAUAUUACUAUUCGUUAUCGUCAUCCUAUUCCUAGGCUAGAUGAUAUGCUUGAUGAAUUGAGUGGCUCUACAAUAUUCUCCAAAGUUGAUUUGCGUAGUGGCUACCAUCAAAUUCGUAUGAAAUUGGGAGAUGAAUGGAAAACAGCAUUUAAAACUAAGUUUGGAUUAUAUGAGUGGUUAGUCAUGCCUUUUGGGUUAACUAAUGCACCUAGUACUUUCAUGAGAUUAAUGAACGAAGUUUUAUGUGCUUUCAUUGGACAAUUUGUGGUAGUUUACUUUGAUGACAUAUUGAUUUAUAGCAGAUCUUUGGAAGAACAUUUGGAACAUUUACAUGCCGUUUUUAUUGCUCUACGUGAUGCACGUUUGUUUGGUAACCUUGGGAAGUGCACCUUUUGCACCGACCGAGUAUCUUUUCUUGGCUAUGUUGUUACUCCACAGGGAAUUGAAGUUGAUAAAGCCAAGAUUGAAGCUAUUGAGAGUUGGCCGCAGCCCAAAACGGUCACACAAGUGAGGAGUUUUCUUGGCCUCGCUGGAUUCUAUAGGCGUUUUGUGAGAGAUUUCAGCACCAUUGCUGCACCUCUCAAUGAGCUUACAAAGAAAGAUGUGCCUUUUCUUUGGGGUACCGCACAGGAAGAAGCCUUCACGGUAUUGAAAGAUAAGUUGACACAUGCUCCUUUACUCCAACUUCCUGACUUUAAUAAGACUUUUGAGCUUGAAUGUGAUGCUAGUGGAAUUGGAUUAGGAGGUGUGUUAUUACAAGAUGGCAAACCUGUUGCAUACUUUUCUGAAAAAUUGAGUGGGCCUAGUCUGAAUUAUUCUACUUAUGAUAAAGAAUUAUAUGCUCUUGUUCGGACUUUAGAAACAUGGCAACAUUAUUUAUGGCCCAAAGAAUUUGUUAUACAUUCUGAUCAUGAAUCUUUGAAACAUAUUAAAAGUCAAGCUAAACUGAAUCAUAGACAUGCUAAAUGGGUUGAAUUCAUUGAGACUUUCCCUUAUGUCAUUAAACACAAGAAGGGAAAAGAAAAUGUUAUUGCUGAUGCAUUGUCUCGUCGCUAUACUAUGCUUUCACAACUUGACUUCAAAAUAUUUGGUUUAGAGACCAUCAAAGAUCAAUAUGUGCAUGAUGCUGAUUUUAAAGAUGUAAUGCAUAAUUGUAAAGAAGGAAGAAUGUGGAACAAGUUUGUUGUUAACGAUGGAUUUGUGUUUCGUGCUAACAAGCUAUGCAUUCCAGCUAGCUCCGUUCGUCUUUUGUUGUUGCAGGAGGCGCAUGGAGGAGGAUUAAUGGGACACUUUGGCGUGAAGAAGACGGAGGACGUACUUGCUACACAUUUCUUUUGGCAAAGAUGAGACGGGAUGUUGAGCGUUUUAUUGCUCGCUGCACUACAUGUCAAAAAGCUAAGUCACGACUCAAUCCUCAUGGUUUAUAUAUGCCUUUGCCUGUACCUAGUGUUCCUUGGGAGGAUAUAUCUAUGGACUUUGUUUUAGGUUUACCUCGAACAAAGAAGGGGAGGGAUAGCAUAUUUGUUGUCGUGGAUAGAUUCUCGAAAAUGGCACACUUUAUACCAUGUCAUAAAAGCGAUGAUGCUGUUAAUGUUGCUGAUUUGUUCUUUCGUGAAAUUAUUCGUUUGCAUGGUGUGCCAAAUACUAUUGUUUCAGAUCGUGAUACUAAAUUUCUUAGCCACUUUUGGAGAUGUUUAUGGGCUAAGUUGGGGACUAAACUGCUUUUUAGUACUACUUGUCACCCCCAAACUGAUGGACAAACUGAAGUAGUCAAUAGAACGUUGUCUACUAUGCUUAGGGCUGUUUUGAAGAAUAAUAAGAAAAUGUGGGAGGAAUGCUUGCCUCAUAUUGAAUUUGCUUAUAAUCGUUCAUUGCAUUCUACUACUAAGAUGUGCCCUUUUGAAGUUGUGUAUGGUUUCGUACCUCGUGCACCUAUUGAUUUGUUGCCUCUUCCAUCUUCGGAGAAGGUUAAUUUUGAUGCUAAACAACGUGCUGAAUUGAUUUUAAAAAUGCAUGAGUUAACCAAGGAAAACAUUGAGCGCAUGAAUGCUAAAUAUAAACUUGCUGGAGAUAAGGGUAGAAAACAUGUUGUGUUUGCACCUGGAGAUCUUGUUUGGUUACAUUUGCGUAAGGAUAGAUUUCCUGAUUUGCGCAAAUCAAAGUUAAUGCCACGUGCUGAUGGUCCCUUUAAGGUGUUAGAGAAAAUAAAUGAUAAUGCAUAUAAACUUGAGCUGCCUGCAGAUUUUGGGGUUAGUCCCACUUUUAACAUUGCAGAUUUGAAGCCUUAUUUGGGUGAGGAAGAUGAACUUCCGUCGAGGACGACUUCAUUUCAAGAAGGGGAGGAUGAUGAGGACAUCAAUACAAUUGUUACACCCACAGCCCCUGCUGCUAUACAUACUGGACCAAUUACUAGAGCUCGUACACGCCAACUAAAUUACCAGGUACUUUCGUUUCUUGGUAAUGAUUCUAAUGUUCAUGAGAAUAUGAUGCUGCCUAAAUUGGAUACAUUUGUUUUGCUUACAAAUGAAGGGCCUAGCUUGGAGAAGGAUGAACAUUGGAGCAAGAACAAGCAUGGAGAUGAUGGCAUGCGCAAGGGGAACAAGAACGGAGUUACAAGUGAUGAUUUCAGGACUUUGAAGCCACCAUAAUGGGUGCAUGAAGCCUUGGACGAAAUAUACAAGAUGCCACUUCAUAAAUUUCGUCCCGAGGCUAUUUUAGGUGCUGCGUCACCUUAUUAUUGGGCCAAGCCCAUGUAAUUUCGAAAUACAUAAGUAUAGGCUAUUUUUAGAGUCCGUAUGUGUGGGGAAACAAGAGAUAGGGUUGAUUUCGGACCCCUCCACCAAGGGCCACGAAAUUGCCCCCUCUUCCUCCAUAUAUACAGCCCUUAGGGCAUCGUUUAGACUUUGGGUUUUGUUUAGAUUAAAAGUUCGCCAUAGCUGCAACUUCGCGUACUUCGUUUGUGUUCAACGACCAGACAAAGGCGUCACAGAACCCCACCUUGAUCAAUAAAGCUUUCAUCUUAUAUUCGCAAUAUCCAGAUUGCAAUCUUAGUUUCUUGCUUGUUCUUCGUUUGCUCGCAGGAAACAGACCCUCGUGGUCAGGUUGAUCGUGCUCCGGCGUGGUCAAUAACCUCUCGGAGUUGGUUUAGCGAUUGCUAAGGCGCGACGUCCUCGCACGUUCGUAGUCGGAUCGUCAAAGUCGACUUCCACCAAAGCGAUAUCCAUCAUCUCAUCGAAAGACGGGACACCUCCGCCUCUAUCACCUUUACUCCAACUUCCUGAUUUUAACAAGACUUUUGAGCUUGAAUGUGAUGCUAGUGGAAUUGGAUUAGGAGGUGUGUUAUUACAAGAUGGCAAACCUGUUGCAUACUUUUCUGAAAAGUUGAGUGGGCCUAGUCUGAAUUAUUCUACUUAUGAUAAAGAAUUAUAUGCUCUUGUUCGGACUUUAGAAACAUGGCAACAUUAUUUAUGGCCCAAAGAAUUUGUUAUACAUUCUGAUCAUGAAUCUUUGAAACAUAUUAAAAGUCAAGCUAAACUGAAUCGUAGACAUGCUAAAUGGGUUGAAUUCAUUGAGACUUUCCCUUAUGUCAUUAAACACAAGAAGGGAAAAGAAAAUGUUAUUGCUGAUGCAUUGUCUCGUCGCUAUACUAUGCUUUCACAACUUGACUUCAAAAUAUUUGGUUUAGAGACCAUCAAAGAUCAAUAUGUGCAUGAUGCUGAUUUUAAAGAUGUAAUGCAUAAUUGUAAAGAAGGAAGAAUGUGGAACAAGUUUGUUGUUAACGAUGGAUUUGUGUUUCGUGCUAACAAGCUAUGCAUUCCAGCUAGCUCUGUUCGUCUUUUGUUGUUGCAGGAGGCGCAUGGAGGAGGAUUAAUGGGACACUUUGGCAUGAAGAAGACGGAGGACGUACUUGCUACACAUUUCUUUUGGCCAAAGAUGAGACGGGAUGUUGAGCGUUUUAUUGCUCGCUGCACUACAUGUCAAAAAGCUAAGUCACGACUCAAUCCUCAUGGUUUAUAUAUGCCUUUGCGUGUACCUAGUGUUCCUUGGGAGGAUAUAUCUAUGGACUUUGUUUUAGGUUUACCUCGAACAAAGAAGGGGAGGGAUAGCAUAUUUGUUGUCGUGGAUAGAUUCUCGAAAAUGGCACACUUUAUACCAUGUCAUAAAAGCGAUGAUGUUGUUAAUGUUGCUGAUUUGUUCUUUCGUGAAAUUAUUCGUUUGCAUGGUGUGCCAAAUACUAUUGUUUCAGAUCGUGAUACUAAAUUUCUUAGCCACUUUUGGAGAUGUUUAUGGGCUAAGUUGGGGACUAAACUGCUUUUUAGUACUACUUGUCACCCCCAAACUGAUGGACAAACUGAAGUAGUCAAUAGAACGUUGUCUACUAUGCUUAGGGCUGUUUUGAAGAAUAAUAAGAAAAUGUGGGAGGAAUGCUUGCCUCAUAUUGAAUUUGCUUAUAAUCGUUCAUUGCAUUCUACUACUAAGAUGUGCCCUUUUGAAGUUGUGUAUGGUUUCCUACCUCGUGCACCUAUUGAUUUGUUGCCUCUUCCAUCUUCGGAGAAGGUUAAUUUUGAUGCUAAACAACGUGCUGAAUUGAUUUUAAAAAUGCAUGAGUUAACCAAGGAAAACAUUGAGCGCAUGAAUGCUAAAUAUAAACUUGCUGGAGAUAAGGGUAGAAAACAUGUUGUGUUUGCACCUGGAGAUCUUGUUUGGUUACAUUUGCGUAAGGAUAGAUUUCCUGAUUUGCGCAAAUCAAAGUUAAUGCCACGUGCUGAUGGUCCCUUUAAGGUGUUAGAGAAAAUAAAUGAUAAUGCAUAUAAACUUGAGCUGCCUGCAGAUUUUGGGGUUAGUCCCACUUUUAACAUUGCAGAUUUGAAGCCUUAUUUGGGUGAGGAAGAUGAACUUCCGUCGAGGACGACUUCAUUUCAAGAAGGGGAGGAUGAUGAGGACAUCAAUACAAUUGUUACACCCACAACCCCUGCUGCUAUACAUACUGGACCAAUUACUAGAGCUCGUGCACGCCAACUAAAUUACCAGGUACUUUUGUUUCUUGGUAAUGAUUCUAAUGUUCAUGAGAAUAUGAUGCUGCCUAAAUUGGAUACAUUUGUUUUGCUUACAAAUGAAGGGCCUAGCUUGGAGAAGGAUGAACAUUGGAGCAAGAACAAGCAUGGAGAUGAUGGCAUGCGUAAGGGGAACAAGAACGGAGCUACAAGUGAUGAUUUCAGGACUUUGAAGCCACCAUAAUGGGUGCAUGAAGCCUUGGACGAAAUAUACAAGAUGCCACUUCCUAAAUUUCGUCCCGAGGCUAUUUUAGGUGCUGCGUCACCUUAUUUUUGGGCCAGGCCCAUGUAAUUUCGAAAUACAUAAGUAUAGGCUAUUUUUAGAGUCCGUAUGUGUGGGGAAACAAGAGAUAGGGUUGAUUUCGGACCCCUCCACCAAGGGCCACGAAAUUCCCCCCCUCUUCCUCCAUAUAUACAGCCCUUAGGGCAUCGUUUAGACUUUGGGUUUUCUUUAGAUUAAAAGUUCGCCAUAGCUGCAACUUCGCGUACUUCGUUUGUGUUCAACGACCAGACAAAGGCGUCACAGAACCCCACCUUGAUCAAUAAAGCUUUCAUCUUAUAUUCGCAAUAUCCAGAUUGCAAUCUUAGUUUCUUGCUUGUUCUUCGUUUGCUCGCAGGAAACAGACCCUCGUGGUCAGGUUGAUCGUGCUCCGGCGUGGUCAAUAACCUCUCGGAGUUGGUUUAGCGAUUGCUAAGGCGCGACGUCCUCGCACGUUCGUAGUCGGAUCGUCAAAGUCGACUUCCACCAAAGCGAAAUCCACCAUCUCAUCGAAAGACGGGACACCUUUUCCCCUAUCAUUAUACCAUGUCAUAAAAGCGAUGAUGCUGUUAAUGUUGCUGAUUUGUUCUUUCGUGAAAUUAUUCGCUUGCAUGGUGUGCCAAAUACUAUUGUUUCAGAUCGUGGUACUAAAUUUCUUAGCCACUUUUGGAGAUGUUUAUGGGCUAAGUUGGGGACUAAACUGCUUUUUAGUACUACUUGUCACCCCCAAACUGAUGGACAAACUGAAGUAGUCAAUAGAACGUUGUCUACUAUGCUUAGGGCUGUUUUGAAGAAUAAUAAGAAAAUGUGGGAGGAAUGCUUGCCUCAUAUUGAAUUUGCUUAUAAUCGUUCAUUGCAUUCUACUACUAAGAUGUGCCCUUUUGAAGUUGUGUAUGGUUUCCUACCUCGUGCACCUAUUGAUUUGUUGCCUCUUCCAUCUUCGGAGAAGGUUAAUUUUGAUGCUAAACAACGUGCUGAAUUGAUUUUAAAAAUGCAUGAGUUAACUAAGGAAAACAUUGAGCGCAUGAAUGCUAAAUAUAAACUUGCUGGAGAUAAGGGUAGAAAACAUGUUGUGUUUGAACCUGGAGAUCUUGUUUGGUUACAUUUGCGUAAGGAUAGAUUUCCUGAUUUGCGCAAAUCAAAGUUAAUGCCACGUGCUGAUGGUCCCUUUAAGGUGUUAGAGAAAAUAAAUGAUAAUGCAUAUAAACUUGAGCUGCCUGCAGAUUUUGGGGUUAGUCCCACUUUUAACAUUGCAGAUUUGAAGCCUUAUUUGGGUGAGGAAGAUGAACUUCCGUCGAGGACGACUUCAUUUCAAGAAGGGGAGGAUGAUGAGGACAUCAAUACAAUUGUUACACCCACAGCCCCUGCUGCUAUACAUACUGGACCAAUUACUAGAGCUCGUGCACGCCAACUAAAUUACCAGGUACUUUUGUUUCUUGGUAAUGAUUCUAAUAUUCAUGAGAAUAUGAUGCUGCCUAAAUUGGAUACAUUUGUUUUGCUUACAAAUGAAGGGCCUAGCUUGGAGAAGGAUGAACAUUGGAGCAAGAACAAGCAUGGAGAUGAUGGCAUGCGCAAGGGGAACAAGAACGGAGUUACAAGUGAUGAUUUCAGGACUUUGAAGCCACCAUAAUGGGUGCAUGAAGCCUUGGACGAAAUAUACAAGAUGCCACUUCAUAAAUUUCGUCCCGAGGCUAUUUUAGGUGCUGCGUCACCUUAUUAUUGGGCCAGGCCCAUGUAAUUUCGAAAUACAUAAGUAUAGGCUAUUUUUAGAGCCCGUAUGUGUGGGGAAACAAGAGAUAGGGUUGAUUUCGGACCCCUCCACCAAGGGCCACGAAAUUCCCCCCUCUUCCUCCAUAUAUACAGCCCUUAGGGCAUCGUUUAGACUUUGGGUUUUGUUUAGAUUAAAAGUUUGCCAUAGCUGCAACUUCGCGUACUUCGUUUGUGUUCAACGACCAGACAAAGGCGUCACAGAACCCCACCUUGAUCAAUAAAGCUUUCAUCUUAUAUUCGCAAUAUCCAGAUUGCAAUCUUAGUUUCUUGCUUGUUCUUCGUUUGCUUGCAGGAAACAGACCCUCGUGGUCAGGUUGAUCGUGCUCCGGCGUGGUCAAUAACCUCUCAGAGUUGGUUUAGCGAUUGCUAAGGCGCGACGUCCUCGCACGUUCGUAGUCGGAUCGUCAAAGUCGACUUCCACCAAAGCGAAAUCCACCAUCUCAUCGAAAGACGGGACACCUUUGCCUCUAUCAAAAGGGCAUGUCAUGCAAAGUGAACAUGGCAAGAUGGGCAUAUAAUAUGUAAUGGACAACAACCCAUAGCCAAGUGAGGGCCAUGUAGAAGAAAUGUGCGAAGUCUUUGCACGAAGAGAGCGGUGGGAAAACAAUCCAUGAGAUCCCAAAUCAUCGUUGCUCUCUAGAGCUCGUUUUGUCAACUCGUGGGAUUGCGAGGUCGACAAGUAUUCAUGGGUACCUACAUAAAAGUGACACAAACCAAAUAAAUUGUGCGCGUGGUAAAUGUACACCCCAUCCAUCAUGAUGUGUAUGUGCAUGUGUGAGUUAGCACAAGAUAAACAUCGGUCAAAGAAAUUUGAUGCAUGGUAUAAGAACAUGUCAUCCAUCAUGAAAGAAUAGUUGUUAUGUAUAACACGAUGGGGGUGCAAAUUGAGCAUACAAUUAUAUGGCACAUCAAUAGCAUUUUCAUUCAAGGGAAACAUAUGGUGCACAUAAUUAUUGGGAUCAUGCAAUGAAUGGGAUGGAUCAAAUUCUCCUAACAUGUAUGAGGGAACUAUGGGGGUUUCCUCAUGAGAAAUACUAGAAACAUCAUAUGGAGAAAAUGGACAACAUCCAAAACAGUGCAUAUUCGAAGCUAGGUGGUCAUGGCAUGGCACAUGAGAUAAAUGAUGCAAAUUAAGCAUAUCAAUAUUAGCACAAGAAAACCAAAUGCCAAUAACCAUGGGCUUGUCAUCUAUGCCAUAAGUGCAAAUUAGGUUUAUUUUAAUGGCAUAUGCAUAGUCACUAUUAAGAGAUUGCAAAUAAGACAUAUGGUUGAUCUCAUGCAUAGCAUAUGGCAAGUCAAGCGGAUUAUCAAACAUGAUGUGACCUAAAGAAUUGUCACAAGAAAUCCUAUGUAACAUGGCAUCACUACUAAUAGACUCCACAUGAGAAUCAUCAUAUUCAUCAUAAAUGGGCAAAUCAUCACAUGGGGAAAUCAUCCUAGCAUGAAACAAGGUACUAGGUGGAUCAACAUCAUGCAAGCAAUCAAUGUCAAGAAUGUCCACUAGUGGUACUAGAGCAUCACUAUCACCUAUGUUACCUUCGUCAUUGCACUCAGGUGGUGUAGGUGAGGUGGGAAAGAUCAAAUAGUGGUCAUCUUCAUCUUGAUGGAACCAUGUGGGGGGUGCAUCAUAUUCCACCUAGCCAUCAUCUUGUCCCAAGGGAGGACGAAGUCGUCGAGGAUCGGCGCGUCAUCAUAAAUGGAACCUAGAACCAAAUGAGAAGACAAAAUAGAGGUAGAGGUCAAGUUGUUAGAAAUGCAAAUGGCCUCAUAAGACCUAUCAACUAUCUCACUCUCUCUAUGUGGUGGUUCACUCACUCCCUCAAAGUAUGUGCACUCAAAGUCACAUAUGGUGGAGUCACUCAUCUCACUCAAGUGGUGGGGGUUGUGGCUCUCCUCACAUGGAAAGUGGGGCAACUUGUCAUAUAUGGGGCUAGUGGUGAAGUCACUCUCACUCUCAAUAUGGUGGCAAAAGUCACUCAAGUCAUCAUACGUCGCUGUGGUCGAAGGGAUAAUCCCAUGCUCAACCAUUUCGUCAUCGUCGCCGUGGAUGAAGGCCGAAGAUGGCACAUCAUCACUCUCGCCUCCUAAGAUGGAAGCAUCAUCCUUGCUCGCCACCUUGUUGCUCGCCUCCAAAGCUUGGUCCUUGAGGGUCUCCGUAGUCGUACUCAUCGCCGCACCAUCUUGAAAAAGAGUCGAAGUAGACUCGGCAUCAUCAAUGCCACAAAGAGGGAUGGCGGUGAAGUCGAACUUGGGAGCAUCGUCUUGGAGCUCGUCGGGCUUGGACAUCAUGGUGGUACUAUCCUCAUGCUUGUCAUAGAGCUUGGUCACCGCAAAGUGUGCUUGGGGUAGACAAGCCUUGUCCUUCAUGAGUUCUUGUUCUGCCUUGAGAGCACCAAUGUAGUAGUCAUCGAGGGACUUGUAGUUCUCGAGGAAGAUAGUCUUGGAGAUGUCGUUGUUCAAUCCCAUAAUGAAGUGGAACUUCAUCGAAAUGGGGUCAUCCAUGCCGGCUCGCCGCAAGGCAAUCUUCAUCUCCUUGAAGUACUUGUCGAUGGACUUGGAUCCUUGGAUGGUGUUCUCCAAUUGGCAUCGAAGUUGUUCCGUGUAGGUUGGAGGCACGAACUCUCCUUGCAAAGCUCUCUUCGUCUUGGGCCAACUCAUCUCGUAGCUCUCCAAAGGUGUGUGAAGCCACCAUGUCGAGGCGAAGUCGUGGAAGUUUCUUGUGGCGCACUUCACUUGAUCUUCAGGACGAACUUGAUGUAGCUUGAGGUAGUCGUCCAUCAAGCGCUCCCAUUCGAGAUACUCCUCAGGUUCUUGUGUUCCAUAGAAAGGAAUUGCAUGGUCGAUGUCGAGGUCGUAGUAGCUCGUGGAAGUCGUGGACUUGAGCUUGUGGAGCUUCUAUUGAGCGUAGUCUUGAGGUGCUUGUUGGUGAAGAUGUCGUAUGUCCGUAGGCAAAGAUGCCUUGAAGUCGCUUGGCGGAGAUGCCAAAGGAAAUGGUGAAAUCGUUGAGUGGUUGUUGAUGUAGAGCUCUUGACCUUCACGUUCUUGUUGGUGAUGGUGUCGAUGCCGAUGUGAUCUUGCCAGAGAUGGUAGCUUGGACGCAUGUGCUCUUGAGCAUCUUCUUGAAGAUGAGGAAGAUCGCAUGUAGAACUUGAUGAGGGGUUUGAUCUCCUCCAUUUGAGCUUGCAUCUUGGCGUCGGAUUUGUUUUUCGUGGCAUCGAACUCGUCGUUGUUGUUGUAGACCGAAGGUGAAAUGCCUUGCCUAUCCAUCACAAGACUCGAGUAGAGGUGAGUAGGAAAUGAGAUAAACAAUACCAAGUUACCUUUUCCCAAAGUUGAUGAUGUAUCCCGUUUCACUCAAUGUGAAAUGAAAGAAUAGUGGAAUUGGUACCGGACUUGUUCACUCACACCUAUCAAGUAAAGCUUAUGGUGUAGCUCGGUGAGGAUAGUGGCACAAAAAAUUUGAUGCAAAAUUUUAGCAAGAGUCAAUAAUGUUGAAAGAGAUUCACAAUUCGGAAACGAAACAAGUAGACCAAUAGCAAUAGAAUGGCACAUGGAAACACACACACGGAUAGAUAAAUGGGGUCGUGCAACCAAGGAAUGAGCACAAAAUGUGGAAUCCACGGAAAAUGCUCGUGUUGCACAACUCAAGAGAGACGCUAGCACGAUUGCUCUAUAGGCGGAUACGACACUUGUGCACAACCUAUGAUAUGCAAAAUGGAUAAAUUUUUAUCCCAAGUAUGCUAUGUAUGUAUGGUUCCCGGUGUUUGAUCCAAGAUGAUCGGAUAUGAUAUAUUGUGAUGCUAUGGCUAUUGCUUACAAGCUCUUUGCUCACUCUUUUUCUUUGCUUAAAAGCUUAUUCUUUUUUUGUAUGGCCACUUUGCACAAACCAAGAUAGCAAUUGUAUAUAUGCGGGAACAAAUUUGUGGCACAAGAGAUGAUAUGAUAGCAAGAUAAUACCAAUAUGAUAUGGUAUGUAUGCAAUGGAUGGUGUAGAUCAAUGAUCACUAAUGUGCACAAGUAACGUUCCCGGCAAUACUCAAAUGGCUAGUCUCGAUAGGCAAGUAACACAAAAUGGGCUAAGGGGGUAUCAAUGCAAUUGCGAGGGGAAUACACAAUGGUGUCGUCGAGGUUACCGUCCUUGGCGAUGAUGAGUGGCGGUGAUCUUGAUGUCGAGCCGUUACUAGUUAGCCGAAACACCCUAGGAAACAGAAAAACCGCGAACUUGAAAUCUCCAAAGGCAAAUGUCAAAUGGUGGUAGGGGAAAAAGCGGUGGUUGUUUGCACUUGGAAAUGCGGAAGUGGAAUGAUGGACUAUACAUGUGUCGUAGUUGAAGUUGCCGUCCCUAAGUAGCCUAAACACCUUAGGAGACACAAGCCACAACUCGAACAAGCUCAAACAAAAAUGGGUUAAGUUGGGGUGGUGGAAGUGUAUGGUGGGCAAGCUUAUGCGGAAAUUAUGGUGGUGGUUGAUGAAGAAGCAACCGUCCCUGAGUAGCCUAAACACCUUAGGAGACUCAAGUCACUACUCAAACAACCUCAAUUGCUAUGGGGAACAAAAUGGGUUAGGUUGCGGAAGUCGGUGGUGGCAAUGCGGAUGUUAUGGUGGAAGGCCUAGGCAAAGAUGCCAAAGUUCCAAAAUUUUGAUGGAGUCAAAUUGACGAGGACAUCAAUACCAUUGUUACACCCACAGCUCCUGCUGCUAUACAUACUGGACCAAUUACUAGAGCUCGCGCACGCCAAUUAAAUUACCAGGUACUUCCGUUUCUUGGUAAUGCUUCUAAUGUUCAUGAGAAUAUGAUGCUGCCUAAAUUGGAUACAUUUAUUUUGAUUACAAAUUAAGGGCCUAGCUUGGAGAAGGAUGAACAUUGGAGCAAGAAUAAGCAUGGAGAUGAUGGCAUGCGCAAGGGGAACAAGAACGGAGUUACAAGUGAUGAUUUCAGGACGUUGAAGCCACCAUAAUAAGUGCAUGAAGCCUUGGACGAAAUAUACAAGAUGCUACUUCAUAAAUUUCGUCCAGAGGCUAUUCUAAGUGUUGCAUCACCAUAUUAUUGGGCCAGGCCCAUGUAUUUUCGAAAUACUUUAGUAUAGGCUGUUUUUAGAGUCUGUAUGUGUGGGGAAACAAGUUGGUUUCGGACCCCUUCCCCAAGUGCCACGAAUUGCCCCCUCUUCCUCCAUAUAUACAGCCCUUAGGGCGUCGUUUAGACUUUGGGUUUUGUUUAGAUUAAAAGUUCGCCAUAGCUGCAAGUUCGCGUACUUCAUUUAUGUUCAACGACCAGACAAAGGCAUCACACAACCCCACCUUGAUCAAUAAAGCUUUCAUCUUAUAUUCGCAAUAUCCAGAUUGCAAUCUCAGUUUCUUGCUUGUUCUUCGUUUGCUCGCAGGAAACAGACCCUCGUGGUCAGGUUGAUUGUGCUCCAACGUGGUCAAUAACCUCUCGGAGUUGGUUUAGCGAUUGCUAAGGCGCGACGUCCUCGCACGUUCGUAGUCGGAUCGUCAAAGUCGACUUCCACCGAAGCGAUAUCCAUCAUCUCAUAGAAAGACGGGACACCUCUGCCUCUAUCAAGUGGUAUCAGAUUUCCAGGUUGCUCGGUGAGAUUUUACUGUUUUUUGUAGUUUAGAUCAAGUCUGUUCUUCAUACCUAUAGUCCAUGAAAAAGCCUAAAAAAAUUAGGGUUAGUUCAUCAUAUCCGAACCAGUCUGAGCCUUUGCAUAGUCUUUUCAGUAUUUUGCUUUGUUGAAUUUGCGGUUGCAUCGUCGCGUCAAGUUGCUGGUCUUAGCGUCUAGUCUUUUAGAGUAUCGAGUUCUGGUCAUAAGUUGUCACGCCGCCACCGCACCAUCAUCAUCGCCCCUGCCACCUACCACCACCGCUCCUAAUCCGUUUCCAUAUACUACCACCAAUCUGUAUCCAUAUACCACCACCGAUCCAUAUCCAUGUACUACCACCGCUACCACCACCGCUGCCAUAUACCACCGCCAUAUAUCCACCACCAAUCUGAGUUCCUUGCAUAUUAGGUUUGUUUUCGAGAUCCAUCUAAUUUCCGAUUCGUGUUUCCUUGCCUGAGUAGGUUUCGGAAAAAAAAGUCUGGAGACCCCCGGGCAGUUUUUAGGCCAAAAUUUCGACGACCGAAAAUAUUUUUUCCCUAUCCUAUUUUUAGUUCCCAGGGAGUGUUUUGAGACACUCGCCAUCAUAGUGAUUUUUUGUCGCACUUUUUCAUCGUCGCUGCCCUGAUUUCCAAAAAAAAUGUCAAAAAAAUUUCGUGCCCAUCCUGUCAGUUUGACCUGGGAAGAGUUUUGAGACACUCGUCAUUAUAGUGAUUUUUCGCAAAAAAAAAGAUCACAAAAAAAAGCAGAGCGAAAAAAAAUCCAGAGUGUGCUUCUCCCUUGUUUACGUGCAGCGCCGUGAUUUCGUUAGUGUUCUAGGCUCGCGUCUCUAGCACGGUCUAGCCUAGGACCAGCACAGUACCGUCGUUGAGUGUUUAUUCAACUUUGCAUCUCUGAAUUGAUUAUUGCUGAUCCUUUUUGCUACCAUAUUAUAAGCCUUCCCAGCUCCACAUACAUCUACGUCGUGUGUUUGACUCUCCCUGGUAAUCGCUCUAUCCAAGCUUUGAGAGUUUUGACUACAACGGUUGCCGAUCACCGCCUGCUGCUGGGUAAGAUCUGGCAAGAAUUUGAGUUUUGCUUGAUGGAUUUGUGACACCCACCACCACCACUUGUUAGUAGUCUGUAGGUUCAUAUUCUUGUGUGUUUCUAUUGCUGCUAACCAUGCCAGGAUCACAAGCUAACGAGAUUGACUGGGAGAACUUAACGAACAAGGAGCUUCAUGAUAAUUUUCAGCAAAUGAUGACCGAACAAGUGCAAGAUGUGAUGAACAAUUUUGAAGAGGCCAUGGAGAAGAUCACUGGCCUUGAGAAGACGUUCGAAACAAAGGUCGAUAAUAGAUUUAAUGAACUGCUUGCGCGUCUUCCACCGGCUGCACCUGCCGCACCUCUGCAACAACAACAACUACUACCUCCAUGUGAUGAAACAGCCCUCCGCCGAGCGAGCCGUGUCUUUCUUCAGCCCGACCAAACUGUUGGUGCUGCUAUUGAUACUUCUAUGGCUCCUGCUGCUGAUGCGGAGGAUGAUUAUGCGGGAGAUUACGUGGAUGAGGUUGAUCAAAAUCAGAACUACGUGCAACCACCAGCACCACAACCACCAGGUCGUCCAUAUGCAAAUAAUCACAAUGGUAGGGCUCUCCCUCAGGUAUGAGAUCAUGACCAUCUUCCUAAACUGAAACUAAAUAUUCCACAAUUUGAGGGUAGAUAUGUUCCUGAUAUAUAUCUUACUUGGGAGUUAGAAACUGAACAAUGAGGUACAUGUUUACAAUAUCCUGAGGAGAGAUGUGUUCCUGCUGCUGUUUGUGCUUUCAGUAGUUUUGCAUGUGUUUGGUGGUCUGAACAUUGUAGAUUAUAUCCUAUUCCAGCUACUUAGGCUACUUUGGAAACUGCUAUGCGUACUCGUUGGGUUCCACCAUAUUAUCCAUGUGAAUUGCUUCAAAAAUUGCAGCGUUUGAGACAAGGAAAAGAUUAUGUAGAAGAAUAUUAUCAGGAAUUACAAACUGGCAUGAUUAGAUGUGGUAUUGUUGAGGAGAAUGAACCUAUGCUUGCAAGUUUUAUGGGUGGAUUAAAUAGAGAGAUUCAGACCAUUCUAGAGUAUAAGGAGUGUACUAAUAUCACACGUUUAUUCCAUCUUGAUUGUAAAGCUGAACGUGAAGUGCAGGAUCGACAAGCAUUGGCGCGAACUAACUUUUCUGCAGGUCGACCCUCAUCAUGGACACCGCGUGCAUCUUCUGCUUCCACUGUACCAGCACCUCCAUUAGGUGCCACCUCCAGCCGUGAUACAAGAAAGCAGGCACAGCCACCACUAUCUGCCAAGAGCGCACCUACCGGGCCUACACAGAGCUCUUCUUCUUCCAUGGCAUCAACUGGGCACAGAAGUGAUAUUAUUUGUGAUGAUUGCUACUGAGGAUGGUGGGUAUGAGUCCGCUAGUGACUAUGAUGAGGAGACGUUGGUUCUUAUUACACGUGAAGAACACGGUGGAGAUGAUUCUGAUCAUGAGACGCAAUACAUGGCUCCUGAAGGCACUGAUAGGUAUGAAUGUUUAGUUGCUCAACGUGUUUUGAGUGUGCAGGUUACACUAGUUGAGCAAAAUCAGAGGCAUAAUUUGUUCCAUACAAAGGGAGUUGUGAAGGAACGUUCUGUGUGUGUCAUCAUAGACGGAGGGAGCUGCAACAACUUGGCUAGCAUGGAGAUGGUGGAGAAGCUCUCUCUCGCCACAAGACCACAUCUACAUCCUUACUACAUCCAAUGGUUCAACAACAGCGGCAAGGUUAAGGUAACACGUACUGUUCGUGUGCAUUUUAGUAUCUCUACAUAUGCUGAUUAUGUUGAUUGUGAUGUGGUACCUAUGCAAGCAUCUUCCUUAUUACUUGGUAGACCAUGGCAAAUUGAUAAAAAUUCUGUACACCACGGAAGAAAUAAUCAGUAUACUCCUGUUCAUAAGGAUAAAAAUAUUACUUUGCUUCCUAUGAGUCCUGAUUCCAUUUUGAGAGAUGAUAUUAAUAGAGCUAAUAAAGCAAAACAGGAGUAGAAUAAGAGUGAAAAUCAGAUUGUGGCAAAAGAAUUUGAGCAACAAAUGAAGCCUAAUAAUAAACCAUCUAGUGUUGCUUCUGAAAUUAAAUUGAAAAAUGCAUGUUUCUUUGCCACCAAAUCUGAUAUUGAUGAGCUAGAAUUCAGCAAAUCUGUUUGCUAUGCUUUUGUGUGCAAAGAGGCAUUAUUUUCAUUCGAGGCCGUGCCUUCCUCUUUGCCUCCUGCUGUCACUAAUGUUUUGCAGGAGUUCGCUGACAUCUUUCCACAAGACAUGCAACCGGGAUUACCGCCUAUUCAAGGGAUUGAGCAUCAGAUUGACUUAAUUCCUGGUGCUUCACUGCCAAAACUGCGCCAUACCGUACCAAUCCAGAGGAGAUGAAGGAGAUUUUGCGUCAAGUGCAAGAGCUUCUCGACAAAGGUUAUAUACGCGAAUCCCUUAGUCCUUGUGUUGUUCCUAUUAUUCUAGUGCCGAAAAAGGAUGGUACAUCGCGUAUGUGUGUUGAUUGUAGAGGCAUUAAUAAUAUUACUAUUCUUUAUCGUCAUCCUAUUCCUAGGCUAGAUGAUAUGCUUGAUGAAUUGAGUGGCUCUACAAUAUUCUCCAAAGUUGAUUUGCGUAGUGGAUACCAUCAAAUUCGUAUGAAAUUGGGGGAUGAAUUGAAAACAGCAUUUAAAACUAAGUUUGGAUUAUAUGACUGGUUAGUCAUGCCUUUUGGGUUAACUAAUGCACCUAGUACUUUCAUGAGAUUAAUGAACGAAGUUUUACGUGUUUUCAUUGGACGAUUUGUGGUAGUUUACUUUGAUCACAUAUUGAUUUAUUGAAGAUAUUUGGAGGAACAUUUGGAACAUUUAUGUGCUGUUUUUAUUGCUCUACGUGAUGUACGUUUGUUUGGUAACCUUGGGAAGUGCACCUUUUGCACCGACCGAGUGACUUUUCUUGGCUAUGUUGUUACUCCACAGGGAAUUGAAGUUGAUAAAGCCAAGAUUGAAGCUAUUGAGAGUUGGCCGCAGUCCAAAACGGUCACACAAGUGAGGAGUUUUCUUGGCGUCGCUGGAUUCUAUAAGCGUUUUGUGAGAGAUUUCAGCACCAUUGUUGCACCUCUCAAUGAGCUUACAAAGAAGGAUGUGCCUUUUGUUUUGGGUACCGCACAGGAAGAAGCCUUCACGGUGUUGAAAGAUAAGUUGACACAUGCUCCUUCACUCCAACUUCCUGAUUUUAAUAAGACAUUUGAGCUUGAAUGUGAUGCUAGUGGAAUUGGAUUAGGAGGUGUGUUAUUACAAGAUGGCAAACAUGUUGCAUAUUUUUCUGAAAAAUUUGAGUGGGCCUAGUCUGAAUUAUUCUACUUAUGAUAAAGAAUUAUAUGCUCUUGUUCGGACUUUAGAAACAUGGCAACAUUAUUUACGGCCAAAGAAUUUCUUAUACAUUCUGAUCAUGAAUCUUUGAAACAUAUUAAAAGUCAAGCUAAACUUAAUGGUAGACAUGCUAAAUGGGUUGAAUUCAUUGAGACUUUCCCUUAUGUCAUUAAACAUAAGAAGGGUAAAGAAAAUGUUAUUGCUGAUGCAUUGUCUUGUCGCUAUACUAUGCUUUCACAACUUGACUUCAAAAUAUUUGGUUUGGAGACCAUCAAAGAUAAAUAUGUGCAUGAUGCUAAUUUUAAAGAUGUAUUGUAGAAUUGUAAAGAAGGAAGAACAUGGAACAAGUUCAUCGUUAAUGAUGGAUUUGUGUUCCGUGCUAACAAGCUAUGCAUUCCAGCUAGCUCCGUUCGUCUUUUGUUGUUGCAGGAGGCGCAUGGAGGAGGACUAAUGGGACACUUUGGCGUGAAGAAGAUGGAGGACGUACUUGCUACACAUUUAUUUUGGCCAAAGAUGAGACGGGAUGUUGAGCACUUUGUUGCUCGCUGCACUACAUGUCAAAAAGCUAAGUCACGACUCAAUCCUCAUGGUUUAUAUAUGCCUUUGCCUGUACCUAGUGUUCCUUGAGAGGAUAUAUCUAUGGACUACUUUGUUUUAGGUUUACCUCGAACAAAGAAGGGGAGGGAUAGCAUAUUUGUUGUCGUGGAUAGAUUCUCGAAAAUGGCACACUUUAUACCAUGGCAUAAAAGCGAUGAUGCUGUUAAUGUGGCUGAUUUGUUCUUCCCUGAAAUUAUUCGCUUGCAUGGUAAUCCAAAUACUAUUGUUUCAUAUCGGGAUACUAAAUUUCUUAGCCACUUUUGGAGAUGUUUAUGGGCUAAGUUGGGGACUAAACUUCUUUUUAGUACUACUUGUCAUGCCCAAACUGAUGGACAAACUGAAGUAGUCAAUCGAACAUUGUCUACUAUGCUUAGGGCUGUUUUGAAGAAUAAUAAGAAAAUGUGGGAAGAAUGCUUGCCUCAUAUUGAAUUUGCUUAUAAUCGUUCAUUGCAUUCUACUACUAAGAUGUGCCCUUUUGAAAAUAUGUAUGGUUUCCUACCUCGUGCACCUAUUGAUUUGUUGCCUCUUCCAUCUUCGGACAAGGUUAAUUUUGAUGCUAAACAACGUGUUGAAUUGAUUUUAAAAAUGCAUGAGUUAACUAAGGAAAACAUUAAGCGUAUGAAUGCUAAAUAUAAACUUGCUAGAGAUAAAGGUAGAAAACAUGUUGUGUUUGCACCUGGAGAUCUUGUUUGGUUACAUUUGUGUAAGCAUAGAUUUCCUGAUUUGCGCAGAUCAAAGCUAAUGCCACGUGUUGAUGGUCCUUUUAAGGUGUUAGAGAAAAUAAAUGAUAAUGCAUAUAAACUUGAGCUGCCUGCAGAUUUUGGGGUUAGUCCCACUUUUAACAUUGCAGAUUUGAAGCCUUAUUUGGGUGAGGAAGAUGAGCUUCCGUCGAGGACGACUUCAUUUCAAGAGGGGGAGGAUGAUGAGGACAUCAAUACCAUUGUUACACCCACAGCCCCUGCUGCUAUACAUACUGGACCAAUUACUAGAGCUCGCGCACGCCAAAUAAAUUACCAGGUACUUUCGUUUCUUGGUAAUGAUUCUAAUGUUCAAGAGAAUAUGAUGCUGACUAAAUUGGAUACAUUUGUUUUGCUUACAAAUGAAGGGCCUAGCUUGGAGAAGGAUGAACAUUGGAGCAAGACCAAGCAUGGAGAUGAUGGCAUGCGCAAGGGGAACAGGAACGGAGUUACAAGUGAUGAUUUCAGGACAUUGAAGCCACCAUAAUGAGUGCAUGAAGCCUUGGACGAAAUAUACAAGAUGCUACUUCAUAACUUUCAUCCAGAGGCUAUUCUAGGUGUUGCGUCACCUUAUUAUUGGGCCAGGCCCGUGUAUUUUCGAAAUACUUGAGUAUAGGCUGUUUUUAGAGUCCGUAUGUGUGGGGAAACAAGAGAUAGGGUUGGUUUCGGACCCCUUCCCCAAGGGCCACAAAAUCCCCCCCCCCUCUUCCUCCAUAUAUACAGCCCUUAGGGCGUCGUUUAGACUUUGGGUUUUUUUAGAUUAAAAGUUCACCAUAGCUGCAACUUCGUGUACUUCAUUUGUGUUCAACGACCAGACAAAGGCGUCACAGAACCCCACCUUGAUCAAUAAAGCUUUCAUCUUAUAUUCGCAAUAUCCAAAUUGCAAUAUCAAUUUCUUGCUUGUUCUUUGUUUGCUCGCAGGAAACAGACCCUCGUGGUUAGGUUGAUUGUGCUCCAACGUGGUCAAUAACCUCUCGGAGUUGGUUUCGCGAUUGCUAAGGCGCGACGUCCUCGCACGUUCGUAGUCGGAUCGUCAAAGUCGACUUCCACCAAAGCGAUAUCCAUCAUCUUAUCAAAAGACGGGACACCUUUGCCUCUAUCACAAAUGGUGGUGAAACCAACGUGAGGACCUCGGGCACGUUGAUAGCUUCAAAACGAGCCAAAGAAUACUCAAAUUGGAGUUCGGAGCGAAAAGUUAUGAUGAAAACGGUGAAGAAGGCUGAUGCUGAAAUUUCGUGCAAUGUUUCUGGUUAGGCCGGAAGUUCCAGGGGGUGGCCGGAAGUUCCGGGGGUCGCAGAAAAAGUACAAGGGUCAGGGAGGAUUUUGGGGUAAACUCUCUUUUUAGCCCGGAUGUUCCGGGGGUAGGACGGAAGUUCCGGGGGACGGAAGUUUCGGGGGAGUCCGGAAAUUCCGGGGGUCAUGGAAUUUCGUCCGGGACGAACCCUAAAUUCCAGAUCUGAGAACGGGGGUGGAAAAACCCGAUUUCAAAGGUCAAAAUUUGGGAGAUUUCAUGGAUGGAAAUGGGGGAAAGCUAGAUACACUUGAAACCAAGCAAAUCCAUGGAUCAAAAUCAACAAAACAUCAUCCAAACCAACAAAUCACAAAAACAAUUGGGGCUAUUUUUGGUGGGGAUUUUCGAAUUUAGGAUUAAAUCAAGCAAAAGAAGGCUAGAAAAGGAUGGGAGGUACUCCAAAUCCGUGAUAAACCUAAGCUCUGAUUCCAUAUGAUACGGGGCUAACCCGGUGUAGGCCGAUCUUUCACGUUUGGAGUGGGAUCCCUCGAAGAACACGAUGAACACGGGGGAGAACAGAGAGAAAUCACAAGUGGAAGCACUCAAGAACAAGUCUAAUCAAACAUCCACUAGACAAUCAAACACACAAGAUCACAACGUACAUGAACAACAAAGGGAAAGAUACAAGGUAAGGUUCAUCUCCAAGACGAGGUCUUGAUGAUAUCCUAGAUGGAUCUUCCCACGAGGGUGUCUUGAUGAUAUCCCGCAGG
Molecule: long non-coding RNA, 28802 nt
Filed under: Triticum aestivum (bread wheat)
Lineage: Eukaryota; Viridiplantae; Streptophyta; Magnoliopsida; Poales; Poaceae
Description: long non-coding RNA (TAES_LNC006992)
Source: RNAcentral